GAUGAACGCUGGCGGCGUGCCUAAUACAUGCAAGUCGAGCGAACAGACGAGGAGCUUGCUUCUCUGAUGUUAGCGGCGGACGGGUGAGUAACACGUGGAUAACCUACCUAUAAGACUGGGAUAACUUCGGGAAACCGGAGCUAAUACCGGAUAAUAUUUUGAACCGCAUGGUUCAAUAGUGAAAGACGGUCUUGCUGUCACUUAUAGAUGGAUCCGCGCUGCAUUAGCUAGUUGGUAAGGUAACGGCUUACCAAGGCAACGAUGCGUAGCCGACCUGAGAGGGUGAUCGGCCACACUGGAACUGAGACACGGUCCAGACUCCUACGGGAGGCAGCAGUAGGGAAUCUUCCGCAAUGGGCGAAAGCCUGACGGAGCAACGCCGCGUGAGUGAUGAAGGUCUUCGGAUCGUAAAACUCUGUUAUUAGGGAAGAACAUAUGUGUAAGUAACUGUGCACAUCUUGACGGUACCUAAUCAGAAAGCCACGGCUAACUACGUG
Molecule: ribosomal RNA, 497 nt
Filed under: uncultured bacterium
Lineage: Bacteria
Description: partial 16S ribosomal RNA
Rfam family: Bacterial small subunit ribosomal RNA
Source: RNAcentral